GACGAACGCUGGCGGCGUGCUUAACACAUGCAAGUCGAACGGAAAGGCCCUGCUUUUGUGGGGUGCUCGAGUGGCGAACGGGUGAGUAACACGUGAGUAACCUGCCCUUGACUUUGGGUUAACUUCAGGAAACUGGGGCUAAUACCCGAUCGGAGCUCCUGCUGCAUGGUGGGGGUUGGAAAGUUUCGGCGGUUGGGGAUGGACUCGCGGCUUAUCAGCUUGUUGGUGGGGUAGUGGCUUACCAAGGCUUUGACGGGUAGCCGGCCUGAGAGGGUGACCGGCGACAUUGCGACUGCGAUACGGCCCAGAGUGCUACGGGAGGCAGCAGUGGAGAAUAUGGCACAAUGGGCCGAAGUCUGAGGCAGCAACGCCGCGGGCGGGAUGACGGCCUGCGGGUUGUAAACCGCUUUCGCCUGUGACGAAGCGUGAGUGACGGUAAUGGGUAAAGAAGCACCGGCUAACUACGUG
RNAcentral lists this ribosomal RNA (468 nucleotides) under uncultured bacterium. RNAcentral describes it as "partial 16S ribosomal RNA". It matches the Rfam family "Bacterial small subunit ribosomal RNA", at positions 28 to 507 of the family's 1533-position model. The record is from RNAcentral.